This 791-nucleotide ribosomal RNA is filed under the name uncultured archaeon. Its description in RNAcentral is "bacterial SSU rRNA". It matches the Rfam family "Archaeal small subunit ribosomal RNA", at positions 85 to 879 of the family's 1478-position model. The record is from RNAcentral.
ACUGCUCAGUAACACGUGGAUAACCUACCCAAAGGUCCGGGAUAACCCCGGGAAACUGGGGAUAAGACCGGAUAGAUCACUUUUCCUGGAAGGGUUGGUGGUUGAAACGCGAGGCUUUUGGAUGGGUCUGCGGCUGAUUAGGUUGUUGCCGGUGUAACGUACCGUCAAGCCUGUAAUCAGUACGGGUUGUGGGAGCAAGAGCCCGGAGAUGGAUUCUGAGACACGAAUCCAGGCCCUACGGGGCGCAGCAGGCGCGAAAACUCUACAAUGCAGGCAACUGCGAUAGGGGAACAUCGAGUGGCACUCAUAUUGGGUGUCUGUCCUCCAGCCUAAAAAGCUGGGGUUAGCAAGGGCCGGGCAAGACCGGUGCCAGCCGCCGCGGUAAUACCGGCGGCUCGAGUGGUGGCCGAUAUUAUUGAGUCUAAAGGGUCCGUAGCCGGCUUUGCAAGUCUCUCGGGAAAUCCAGCGGCUUAACCGUUGGUCGUCCGGGGGGUACUACAUUGCUUGGGACUGGGAGAGGCGAGAGGUACUCAGGGGGUAGGAGUGAAAUCCUGUAAUCCUUUGGGGACCACCGGUGGCGAAGGCGUCUCGCCAGAACAGGUCCGACGGUGAGGGACGAAAGCUAGGGGCACGAACCGGAUUAGAUACCCGGGUAGUCCUAGCCGUAAACGAUGCUCGCUAGGUGUCACAACAGUCGUGAACUGUUGUGGUGCCGUAGGGAAGCCGUGAAGCGAGCCACUUGGGAAGUACGACCGCAAGGUUGAAACUUAAAGGAAUUGGCGGGGGAGCAC